Arachis ipaensis is the source of this 643-nucleotide non-coding RNA. Lineage: Eukaryota; Viridiplantae; Streptophyta; Magnoliopsida; Fabales; Fabaceae. The record is from RefSeq and is a predicted model, not a curated record.
CUUGGGAGUUGAUGAAGAUGCUAAGUGUCCUCUCCUCAAGAGAAAGUCUGCUGAUGCUGUGGUGGAUAAGUUAAAUGAAGUGGAUAGUUCUGAAAAUUCAUGCGAUGAAGUUGAUGAAAGUGAAGAGGAGUAUGUGGUUGGCCUUAAUCGAGGCUCUCUUGAUGCUGAGAAAGAUGUGAAGCCUUCGUUGAAGAGGUUGAGAAGAUUCUUGAGGCUACAAUUUGAUGAAGCUGAUGAGUCUCGUGGCUCGGGGAAUGAUGGCUCCUCUAGACAUGGGGUUAAUUGAGGUGGCUGCCCAUAGUAGUUAACUAGAGCUACUGAUUAGGAUUAAUCUAGGGCAUUAGGUAUUUUGGUUGUGUCCAUGUAAUAGUAUUUGAUGCAUUGGAUUGUAGUGGAUGAGAAUAUGUGUGUGUUUUCAUGUUUUGUAUAAGUUGUUUGGAUUGUUUUUUGGGCAUCUUUCUCAUGUAAUAGAUUAAGUGCUAGGGUAUGGACACGAUAUCAUUAGCCACUAGGCAAAUUAGCUAUUUAGCCUUUUAUGUUUGUACUUAUUUCUUUGAAAUUCAAUAAAAUGCAGUAGCUCUUUUAUGAUAUAAAAAUCUCUCCUUCCACAAUUUAGUUUAUUUCGUAACUUAUGUGGUUUUGC